RNAcentral lists this long non-coding RNA (254 nucleotides) under Carica papaya (papaya). Its description in RNAcentral is "long non-coding RNA (CPAP_LNC001483)". The record is from RNAcentral. Lineage: Eukaryota; Viridiplantae; Streptophyta; Magnoliopsida; Brassicales; Caricaceae.
UAAUGUCUAUAAUUUCAAAGGCAAGAGGCAUAUCAAUCAAUGUGUAAACAUGUAUUACAUGAAACAACUUAACUACCACAUUUAAAAAACAUCCUCGAUCAGCAUUCUGAUAAUGUUACAUGCCUAUGUUGUAAUUUGGACAAAAAAGUAACUUUGCAUCAUGAUUUCCACUAACAUUUAAAGAUCAACAAAGACACUCAUAAGAACUACCCAGACCAAGCAAUUGGCGAUGGCAUUCAAGUUGUCUUGUACCU